RNAcentral lists this ribosomal RNA (460 nucleotides) under uncultured bacterium. RNAcentral describes it as "partial 16S ribosomal RNA". It matches the Rfam family "Bacterial small subunit ribosomal RNA", at positions 338 to 795 of the family's 1533-position model. The record is from RNAcentral.
CCUACGGGUGGCAGCAGUGAGGAAUAUUGGUCAAUGGACGCAAGCCUGAACCAGCCAAGCCGCGUGCAGGAAGACUGCCCUAUGAGUUGUAAACUUCUUUUGUACGAGGGUAAAGCCAGGUACGUGUAUCUUGUUGUAUGUACCUUAUGAAUAAGGAUCGGCUAACUCCGUGCCAGCAGCCGCGGUAAUACGGAGGAUUCGAGCGUUAUCCGGAUUUAUUGGGUUUAAAGGGUGCGUAGGUGGUUUGUUAAGUUAGAGGGGAAAUUCCGGGGCUCAACUGUGGCACUGCAUGUGAUACUGGCGGGCUUGAGUUGAGUUGAGGUAGGCGGAAUGUGUGGUGUAGCGGUGAAAUGCAUAGAGAUCACGAAGAACUCCGAUUGCGAAGGCAGCUUACCAAACUGCGACUGACGUUGAGGCACGAAAGCGUGGGUAGCAAACAGGAUUAGAUACCCUUGUAGUC